GACGAACGCUGGCGGCGUGCUUAACACAUGCAAGUCGAACGGAAAGGCCCUGCUUGCAGGGUACUCGAGUGGCGAACGGGUGAGUAACACGUGGGUGAUCUGCCCUGCACUUCGGGAUAAGCCUGGGAAACUGGGUCUAAUACCGGAUAGGAGCCAUUUUUAGUGUGAUGGUUGGAAAGUUUUUUCGGUGUAGGAUGAGCUCGCGGCCUAUCAGCUUGUUGGUGGGGUAAUGGCCUACUAAGGCGGCGACGGGUAGCCGGCCUGAGAGGGUGGACGGCCACAUUGGGACUGAGAUACGGCCCAGACUCCUACGGGAGGCAGCAGUGGGGAAUAUUGCACAAUGGGCGCAAGCCUGAUGCAGCGACGCCGCGUGGGGGAUGACGGCCUUCGGGUUGUAAACUCCUUUCGCUAGGGACGAAGCUUUUUGUGACGGUACCUAGAUAAGAAGCACCGGCGAACUACGU
This 464-nucleotide ribosomal RNA is filed under the name uncultured bacterium. RNAcentral's name for it is "partial 16S ribosomal RNA". It matches the Rfam family "Bacterial small subunit ribosomal RNA", at positions 28 to 506 of the family's 1533-position model. The record is from RNAcentral.